RNAcentral lists this ribosomal RNA (510 nucleotides) under uncultured bacterium. RNAcentral's name for it is "partial 16S ribosomal RNA". It matches the Rfam family "Bacterial small subunit ribosomal RNA", at positions 28 to 507 of the family's 1533-position model. The record is from RNAcentral.
GACGAACGCUGGCGGCGUGCUUAACACAUGCAAGUCGAACGAAGAGCGAUGGAAGCUUGCUUCUAUUAAUCUUAGUGGCGAGCGGGUGACUAACGCGUAAUCAACCUGCCCUUCAGAGGGGGACAACAGAUGGAAACGACUGCUAAUACCGCAUACGAUCUCAUCUCGGCAUCGAGGAUAGAUGAAAGGUGGCCUCUACAUCUCAUCUAUCACUGACGGAUGGGUUUGCGUCUGAUUCGCUAGUUGGAGGGGUAAUGGCCCACCAGGGCGAGGAUCAGUAGCCCGAAGGGGAGGAUGGACAGCCAGACUGGGACGGAGACCGGGCCCAGACUGACACGGGAGGGAGCAGUAGGGAAACGUCAGGAAUGGACGAAAGUCUGACGGCGCAACGCCGCAUGCGCGAUGACGGCCUUCGGGUGGUAAAGCUCUGUUAAUCGGGUCGAAAGGUCUUCUUGCGAAUAGUGAGAAGGAUUGACGGUACCGGAAUAGAAAGCUACGGCUAACUACGUG